Molecule: ribosomal RNA, 681 nt
Filed under: Ganoderma applanatum
Lineage: Eukaryota; Fungi; Basidiomycota; Agaricomycetes; Polyporales; Polyporaceae
Description: SSU rRNA
Rfam family: Bacterial small subunit ribosomal RNA
Source: RNAcentral
UUUUUCAGUAGUUUAAGACAUGCAAAUCGUUGUUCCCAACGUCCUUUUUAUAAUUAAUAUUAUAAUGUCAAUGGGAUUAGGGGAUAAGGUGUAGAGGUGAGUAUGUUAAAUAAGAUACCCUAUAGUCUUCUUAGCUAGGAGAUAUAAAGUAAAGGAAAAUUUCUGCUAUAGGAUUCUAUUUAAUUUGAUUAGGUAGUUGAUAGGGUAACGGCCUACCAAGCCAACAAUCAAAAGUCAAGUUUGAAAGAACCUCUGGCCACAUUGGGGAUGAAAUCUCCCAAGUAGUAAUAACACUACCAGCAGUCGAGAAUAUUAGUCAAUGCUCGUAAGAGUGAACUAGCUAACUGAAAUCAUAGAAUUUUUUUAAGUUCAUGAUGUCGUAAGGGAAAAUAAUGAUAAUACCUUACUAUGAGUGUCGUCCAAAUCUGGUGCCAGAAGACUCGGUAAGACCAGAGACGCAAACGUUAAUCAUCAUAAACAGGCGUAAAGGGUUUGUAGGCAGCUUUUAUAAUAUUAAAAAAAAAUUAAUUUAAUUGAAAGCUAGAAUCAAAAAGAGGUUAUAGUGUAUAACGCCUAGAGGAGGGCUGAUAUCCAUAGAUCCUAGGCAGAAUACUCAGGGCGAAGGCCACUCUCCACUAAUGAUUGACGCUGAGAAACGAAGGUUAGGGUAGGAAAUAGGAU